UGCGUAGGUGGUUUCUUAAGUCAGAGGUGAAAGGCUACGGCUCAACCGCAGUAAGCCUUUGAAACUGGGAAACUUGAGUGCAGGAGAGGAGAGUGGAAUUCCUAGUGUAGCGGUGAAAUGCGUAGAUAUUAGGAGGAACACCAGUUGCGAAGGCGGCUCUCUGGACUGUAACUGACACUGAGGCACGAAAGCGUGGGGAGCAAACA
RNAcentral lists this ribosomal RNA (206 nucleotides) under uncultured Romboutsia sp. RNAcentral's name for it is "partial 16S ribosomal RNA". It matches the Rfam family "Bacterial small subunit ribosomal RNA", at positions 568 to 774 of the family's 1533-position model. The record is from RNAcentral. Lineage: Bacteria; Bacillati; Bacillota; Clostridia; Peptostreptococcales; Peptostreptococcaceae.